Molecule: ribosomal RNA, 465 nt
Filed under: Vreelandella stevensii
Lineage: Bacteria; Pseudomonadati; Pseudomonadota; Gammaproteobacteria; Oceanospirillales; Halomonadaceae
Description: partial 16S ribosomal RNA
Rfam family: Bacterial small subunit ribosomal RNA
Source: RNAcentral
CCUACGGGAGGCUGCAGUGGGGAAUAUUGGACAAUGGGGGGAUCCCUGAUCCAGCCAUGCCGCGUGUGUGAAGAAGGCCCUCGGGUUGUAAAGCACUUUCAGUGAGGAAGAACGCCUGGUGGUUAAUACCCAUCAGGAAAGACAUCACUCACAGAAGAAGCACCGGCUAACUCCGUGCCAGCAGCCGCGGUAAUACGGAGGGUGCGAGCGUUAAUCGGAAUUACUGGGCGUAAAGCGCGCGUAGGUGGCUUGAUAAGCCGGUUGUGAAAGCCCCGGGCUCAACCUGGGAACGGCAUCCGGAACUGUCAAGCUAGAGUGCAGGAGAGGAAGGUAGAAUUCCCGGUGUAGCGGUGAAAUGCGUAGAGAUCGGGAGGAAUACCAGUGGCGAAGGCGGCCUUCUGGACUGACACUGACACUGAGGUGCGAAAGCGUGGGUAGCAAACAGGAUUAGAUACCCUUGUAGUC